UUGGAAAGUGCUUUUCUCUUUACCUUAUUAAAAAUGUUGAUGAUCAGAGAAAGGGGCUUUUCUUGUUGCUGACGACAUGUGUGUGACAUGUGAGUCGGAACCACCCAGCGUCAGUGCAGGAGCUGUAAACAUGUUUACCUGAACAGGAAAGAAAAUGGAUUUUUCUCUUAGAGAUCCAGUGAUAUGAAUAUCAUACUCUUGGAGCAUAUCAACAGAUGACUUGAGACAAAUUUUCUGAAAGCUUAGCUUUUGAAAUCAACGGAGGAAAGAGAUUCUUGAUUGCUGCAGCAAAUGGCAACUUGUGCAGUUACAGGAUUACCUAAUCUGCCCUGCAGAAGUGUGUUUGGUUUAUUAAGUCUUUUGGAAGAUGUGCUAAUACAGAUUCGAUGGAAAUUGGCCAGAAACAUGGCUGACUGAGACAGAGGGAAUCCAGAUGUUGGAGGAGGAUAUAAAAUAUAAAGUUGUGCCUCUGCUUGAUCCAGCUCACUACAAAUCUGUGCGCAGAAGCAGUAGCAGGAAAAAUAACUAGGAUUCCUGUCAAAGCUUUGACAGCUAUACUUACCUGCUAUAAGAAUCUGUUGUUUUAAAAAAAAACCAACAAACCCAAACAACCACACCUCUCAAUUGUCUACAGUCAACUGUAUCUGUAAACAUUAGUGGCUGCUCUUCCAGUUACAGCUUUCAAGAAGAUUUUUCUGUUUUAUGGCAUGCAAGCUCUAAAAGGUGCUCUCCGACCCCCAACAAGGUGCACUACUUUCAUUUAUGCUGAAUGGAGAAUCUUCCUGGAUUGCAUCUGCUCAGGAAAUGAAGACAGCUUCUGGUAAACGUGGGCUUCUAAACUAACUGGCAAGUCAGCAUAAAAACAAUUUGAUAUAUAGAAUAUGGAUAAAUUACUAAAACAUGCAAAAUCUGUCCUAAAGUGCUUAAUUAUAAAGAAACCUCUUGACUGAUAUUUGUUUUAGUCUGUCUCGCUCGUUGGAGUCUGGUUCAAUAUCUCACUGUGGACACAAACCAAGUGGACUCUGGAAAUCUAUGCUUUAGCAACAAAAUGUACAAAUUACAACUUGUAAUAAAGAAAAUGGGCAUACUGUUUGAGUAA
Non-coding RNA from Phalacrocorax carbo (great cormorant), 1099 nucleotides. NCBI's taxonomy places the organism in Eukaryota, Metazoa, Chordata, Aves, Suliformes, Phalacrocoracidae. The record is from RefSeq and is a predicted model, not a curated record.